GCCACCCUAGCUCAGCCGGUAGAGCAGCCGAUUCGUAAUCGGCAGGUGAGGGGUUCAAAUCCCCUGGGUGGCUCCA
This 76-nucleotide transfer RNA is filed under the name Deltaproteobacteria bacterium. RNAcentral describes it as "tRNA-Thr". It matches the Rfam family "tRNA". Rfam says of the family: Transfer RNA (tRNA) molecules are approximately 80 nucleotides in length. The record is from RNAcentral. Lineage: Bacteria; Pseudomonadati; Myxococcota; Myxococcia.